This 398-nucleotide ribosomal RNA is filed under the name Sesamia calamistis. Its description in RNAcentral is "partial 16S large subunit ribosomal RNA". Lineage: Eukaryota; Metazoa; Arthropoda; Insecta; Lepidoptera; Noctuidae. The record is from RNAcentral.
AAGGUAGCAUAAUCAUUAGUCAUUUAAUUGAUGACUUGUAUGAAGGAUUGGAUGAAAUAUAAACUGUCUCUUAAUUAUAUUUAGAAUUUAAUUUUUUAAUUAAAAAGUUAAAAUGAAUUAAAAAGACGAGAAGACCCUAUAGAGUUUUAUAAUUAAAUUAAUUGAGAUUUUUUGUAAGAUUAAAAUUAAAAUUAAUUUAUUUAUUUUGUUGGGGUGACAGAAAAAUAUGGAGAACUUUUUUUAUAAUAUUACAUAAAUAAGUGGUUAAAUGAUCCAAUAUUAUUGAUUAUAAGAAAAAAUUACCUUAGGGAUAACAGCGUAAUUUUUUUUUUUAGUUCAUAUAAAAAAAAAAGUUUGCGACCUCGAUGUUGGAUUAAGAUAAAAUUUAAAUGCAGAAG